RNAcentral lists this transfer RNA (68 nucleotides) under Triops granarius. RNAcentral's name for it is "tRNA-Glu". It matches the Rfam family "tRNA". Rfam says of the family: Transfer RNA (tRNA) molecules are approximately 80 nucleotides in length. Their secondary structure includes four short double-helical elements and three loops (D, anti-codon, and T loops). The record is from RNAcentral. Lineage: Eukaryota; Metazoa; Arthropoda; Branchiopoda; Notostraca; Triopsidae.
GUUAUUAUAGUUUAAAACAAAACAUUACAUUUUCAUUGUAAAGAUAAGAAAAACUUUCUUUAAUAAUA